This 380-nucleotide long non-coding RNA is filed under the name Sinocyclocheilus anshuiensis. RNAcentral's name for it is "lncRNA (ENSSANG00000024422.1)". The record is from RNAcentral. Lineage: Eukaryota; Metazoa; Chordata; Actinopteri; Cypriniformes; Cyprinidae.
GCUAAUUAAGGUCUUACUAGGCAUACUAGAAACUUCCAGGCAGGUGUGUUGAGGCAAAUUGGAGCUUAACUCUGCAGGACCGAGUUUGGAGACCCCUGAUCAAAACAUUUAGAGUGGUCAGAUCAGAUAUGUCAAUGGCGAGAGUUUGGGUGUAGCUACUGAGCCAACCAAAACACUGGUGACACACCAAAGCCCUUCUUCCAUGAAAUGUCAAAGAGGAAUGUCUACUAGAAGUGCAAUAUUAUAGCUGUGCUCACACAGAGAUGUAAUGCGCUGAAAAGCUGAUCUUUGACCUUUUGAGAUUUACAGCUUGAGAAAACCGAUGAGGUGAUAAACGCAUGAGGGAUAAAUCAAGACAAAUAUUGAAAAUAUGUUUUUGG